RNAcentral lists this small RNA (133 nucleotides) under Klebsiella variicola. RNAcentral describes it as "RtT sRNA". It matches the Rfam family "RtT RNA". Rfam says of the family: This family represents a bacterial cis-regulatory element known as RtT RNA. RNAcentral also lists the same sequence under 3 other names. Lineage: Bacteria; Pseudomonadati; Pseudomonadota; Gammaproteobacteria; Enterobacterales; Enterobacteriaceae. The record is from RNAcentral.
GAUUCUACCCUACGGGGAAGGAUGAGAAGCUUCGACUAAGGUUCGACUCGAGCGCCAGCGAGAGAACGUUGCCGCAGGCAACGGCCCGAAGGGCGAGGAGCGAUAGCGACGAGUUAUCCUUCCCCCACCACCA